Molecule: long non-coding RNA, 8185 nt
Organism: Paramormyrops kingsleyae
Lineage: Eukaryota; Metazoa; Chordata; Actinopteri; Osteoglossiformes; Mormyridae
Source: RefSeq, a predicted model, not a curated record
AAGAAAGCCUUAAUAUGAGAGUUAAUUUUUCAGAAAAAGACGCAGUAAAGACGUUUUUCUUACAUAUUCACCCAGCAUGAAUUGCUAAUAUGGCGAAGGUGUUGCGUGGGUUUCCAAAUAAAACAAAAGGCAAAUGUAUGACCGUUAAUGAAACGUGAGUCAUAUAAGCCAAAUCUAGAGGAUGUAAUGUAAUCAUUAUGAAAGGACGUCCACUGGACUGCAAGGGCAAAAACCUUUUACCCAACAGGAUUCUAUCAUUCUGUCAACAUACUUAUUGCAGUCAGGAACUGCAGCUUUCGGAAAUAUGCCGGUGACUGUAUUUCUAUGGGCAGGAAAUUAACGGGCGCGGAAGCAAGUGUGACAUUUGGCAGGAUGUGAGCGGGGGCAUGAACGGCUCCUGUUUCAGCGGCGCUGUAGACCUGACCAUGACACUGUUCUGCUCGACAGGAUCAGGUGAUUUGAAAAAGUAUAAGAAAACAGACAAUUAUUUGAGCCAUCUUUGUUAUACAAAUCAAAUCUACUUUCAUUGCCUGCUCUGCAUAAGCUGAACAUGAAGUUAAUCUUCAGAAAACUCUCAAAAUUACCACUGGCUAUUUAAGUACUGCCAAACAAAACAAAACAAAAAAAACAUGAUGUCAUUUAUGUUUAGCUUUUGCAGCUAUAGCUUGGACCAAGGCAUUCAUCAUGUGCCCAUGUGUUUCUGUUUGGUACUGACCUAAUUUUUUCUCUUCCUGGGCUGAUGUAGCCUUUUUCAUAAUUCAGUCCGGAACGUCUGUCGCCACUCUGGGACACAAGCAUGUAAAUUAGGGUUAAAUGCAAAUAAUGCAGACGCUGACCAAUAUUUGGCUGAUAUCAAGAUGGGAAGUGAAAACCAUGAAUGAACCAUGUCAGCUGACUGACCGAGGCCCUCAAAGUGUAAAUGGUUAACCCUGUGCUUGCCGAUUUCUUUGCAGAGAACUGAGAAUCAUGCAGCACAGACUGUUUGCUUGUAUGGAGCACCGAGACCCACUUUUGGGUCUUGUUGCUGGAGAGCUUCCCAUAUCGCACAUUCUGUGGAGCACAUGUCACCCUCUGGGGCAGUGUGGCCGAGCUUGGCAGCUGGCCAGUGGAUGUGAGACGGGAGACAGACGAGUGUCAUCUCAGUGUCUCACACGCCAUGCUUUCCAUGUAGGCUUAAUGACUCAUUAAGCCCACUGCUGUGGACUGAACUGCUUCACGCCCACACUGGGUUGGCAGCAAAAUUGAAUGUUUUCAUCCAGACGGUCCAUUAAAACUUUUGCUGAAAGGCUGAAAGUAGUGGCCUGCCUUUCCACCAGCUGUGAGGUGAUUUAUUUGAGCCCUUGUAUUUGGUGGGGUGAAGUUUGUCAUGCAUUUCCCAGAAGAAACCCAUCAUCUGUCCUGUGGCACAAGUCAACCUGCAACUCGGUGCCAAUGAGUAAAAAUCGGUAAGAAUGUAACCAUGAGACCGUUCACCAGUCCUGGUGGAACUCCUGGGUCAUUAUUACUAUGAUUAUAACUCUGGUCAAAGAGAUUACAGUCUAUUUGACUACAAGAAAUGUGCACAUUACACUGUCAGAAAUAAGGGUAAAAACUUGCACCUUUGCUUGUCACUGGGGUUGUCCCCUUGAAGGUCUGCCAAUUGUACCCUUAGCUGUAGAUAAAUGUACCUUUUAAGGUACAGAAAUACUCUGAGGAAUAUUUAUGUACAAUUGAUUGUACAUUCAUGCUGUCUGGACCAUUGGGAUGCUCCUCAGAGUCCAUUUCUGUACCUUAAAAGGUACAAUUACAAGGGUACAGAAAAAUGACAAUUUUUUUCUCUUUUUUCUAAGAGUGUAUACGGUCACUAUUACUGUUGUGAGAUGUGAGCUAUUGGUCACAUAAGUCAUAAUGGUUAGGAGAGCCAAGCUUUCAAUAGAGGAGUCAGGGUUAGACUUGUUAGGCAUGUCAGGAUCAGAAGAUGGAAAAAAAGCCAAUUAAAGGAGGAUCUGAUAGUUGAAUGUGUAGAGAAAUUGAAGUCAAGGAGAAUUUUCAGAGACAAAAGGGAGAAAUGGGUAUAUACAGGAGAUAAUCAAAUGGUGCAAAGUCAGUAUUCAGUCCAAAACGUGAAAGGUUUGCUAUACCUAAUUAGCUCUAACAUGGUUAUGGAGUCUUAUGCAACAAUUUAAACAAACUCGUUUGAGGAAGAUCAAAACUAAUGUACAUAAAAAGAUGUCCCUGCUGAGGUAGCCAUGUUCAGAACAAUCUGUCUCUGUUAUAAUGAAUACAGCCUGGAGCCCUAACAUUAGCAAAUACAAACCCAUCACAACGGAGGUAGCGGGACUGAGUGUGACAGCUAAAGGUUUAUCUGCCUGUAAAAUUGCACAGAGGUGAGGUCUGUUUAUGCUGUCUGCAAACACUAGGCAGUACGUGUAAAUAUAGACUGAGGCCAUUAGUGAAGCAGGGCUGUCCUGAUUUGCACUUUGUCUCAGACUAUCACUUCCUGUAUAAAUGUAUACAAAAUAUAUGCAGAUCAGCUCGCUCGUACAAGAAAAGGUAUUCUUGUUAUACACACUUAAUGUAAAUGUGUGGUUAAGGUUUAUUAUACACAUAAUAGCGCCGAUUCAGUUUUAAACCGACCAUUUAGUCCCUCCCUGCCAUUAAAAUUAAGAUUUUGUUUCCUUUUCUCUUUUUGGCUUAAUUCCGGUAAAUGCUUGAUUUUAGAAGCAGUCUUUUGAGGACACAUGUACCGUGCCCGCUUUUCCCGGGGCGUCCAGCCCUGCGCUAUAAUGUGGCGGCUUCGCAGAAGCGGCUCCUGUCAGCCCGACGGUGCUGCAGCGUGAUGGCGUAGGCUGUUUGUCAGACGGAGCAAAUCACGCUACACAUGAAAUGACACUAGGUUUGGGAAAUGCCACGCCAUUACGUUCUGUAGCAUACUUUGCGAAGUCGUCUACCUGGCUGACAUGCAGUGACGCUGCUCCUGUCGCCAGGAAAGAGCAGGGACUGCCUGUCUGGUUAUUUUCCACUAAGCUCCGACCUCCUGUCUCAUGCCAGAGAGAAAAUGCGGAGAGAGCUGUGCUUUCGGCUCCUACAUUAAUAUCCACGCACUGCCGGUUUUAGCACAGCUCUGGGUGUGCCGUUUUAGUCUAAGGAAACAGUUUUAAUAAGCGGCGUCUUAAAUUAAAAUAAUUUGUAGCUGCCGGUUAUGUAUCAAAUUAUUCCUGAAGAUAAACUGACUCGCCAACACAUGUAUCCAUUUCAAGCGAAAGUCAGAGCAAAUCCAUAUUUUAACCAUCGUUAUUAAUUCCCAGAAAAGAAAACGGACAAAAUUAGGCAUAGUAGUUACUCCACAAAGUGCUGAUUACUCGUCUAAAUUUUUUACAGUCUAGAAUGUGAGAAACUUAGAAAUAAUGGCACCUUCGUUUGUCAUUUUCAUCUUUAUUUGAUAACGGGCAGGAAAUGCAGAACAGCCACCUAUUGUUUCAGUCCCGGAUUAGGCCAACAAAGGUCUUUCUGCACAGUGGUCUCUGAGUUUGGGCUGGAAAAGGCUGCAGCCUGAGAAAAUGCCAACAUUGUUUUGGAAAGAGGCUAGUUGCCCUUUUUAUUUGUGGAAAUAUAUGCAGGCGCUACCUAUCUGAUAAGGGAGUGGAAAAGCAAGCAUGCUGGAAAUAAACAGGGUGGGUGCUGGACGUUUGACCUGAGUUAAUUUAAUUUUAUUAGAUGAGACUUUUUUGGAGAUAUAGAGCAGACUGGGCAAUUAUAAAAAUAGUAUGCAGCCUUACUGUCUUCAUUUGGUGGCUCUUUUGUAAGCUCACCAAGAUUAGGCCUGCUGCUGUGGAUGUUAAGUAUUAACACUCUGUGACAGACUGCUAUGUCGCAAGUCUGGCCUACAACUUCGAAAUCGUUCAUUCAUUCAUUUGGAAACAGCCAGGGGCCCUAAUAUUAGCAAAUCCCAUCACAGCGGAGGCAGUGGGACUGAGUGUGACAGGUUUAUCUGCCUGUAAAAUUGCACAGAGGUGAGGUUGUAUUAUGCUGUCUGCAAACACUAGGCAGUACGUGUAAAUAUAGACUGUGGCCAUUAGUGAAGCAGGGCUGUCCUGAUAUGCACUUUGUCUCAGACUAUCAUUUCCUGUAUAAAUGUAUACAAAAUAUAUGCAGAUUGGCUCGUUCAUGCAAGAAAAGGUAUUCUUGUUCCACCAAUUUAAUUGAAAAGUUUAAAAGCACCAAUGGAGUGACUGGCAUUGUGAGCCAAAAGGGUUACCACAGCAUUUUGCAGUGCCAUGCAACACCCUCUGGUCUGCAUGUAGUCGGUUAGGGGUUCGUCCUAAAGCAAGGCAAUAACCCAAAACAUACGUACCUUCAGGCUAUGUCAGAGCUAAUAUAAAAGAAAACAACAAGAUGGUACUCCUUAAAAACAUGGAAGGGCCAGCACAGUCUCCAGACUUAAACCCCACUGAGCUGGUUAGGGAUGAACUGGGUAGAAGGAUGAAAGCAAAACAACCUACAAGUGCAACACAUUCAUGGGUACCUCUGCAGUAGAGUUGGGAAGAACUUUCUGACAAAAAUUUGAUAUUCCUUGUACAAAGAAUGCUGUGUGUGUCUGGUUGUUAUAUCGGCAAAAGGUGGCUACUUUGAGUCUAAAAUUUAAAUACAGUUUGUAAGCUAAAUGAUUUCUUGACUUCUUUUAAAUUGCUAUAGUUUAUUUGCCCUAUGCCUUAAUUACACUUCACAUUGAUACUUAAAGCCAACAUACAUUUCCAUAAAACUGGAAAAACUGAGGGGCUCCAUCCGUCUGUCCUAUCAAUCUAAUCUUUAAUAGUAAUAAUACAUACAUACAACACCAAACCAGUUGUGAUGGUUCUGCUCAACUGGAAGUAAUGCAUUUUAGACAGUACUGGUUGGUGUUACUUUAGCACCUUUUGUGAAGAGGGCAUUGCCCCAAAGCCACACAACACACUCCUUAGAAGCUGUUUUCAUAACUGACUCACUUGUCGUUUUGUAAGCUUGUUUCCUGACCUUUUUUCAUGCAAUCAACUCAGGGUUAAUAGGGGAGUGGGGACACUUACUGGAAGUACAUCUGUUAAUAUUUGCUCUACUAUUUUACGGGGAAAGCUGCUAGGCUGUUAGACUGAAUGUAAUGAUGCUUCAUGAACCAUUUGCUGUAUUUUUUGACCCCACUAGAUGGUGCUUUUGGUUUGCUUUGAGCCCUUUUUUGAACAGAGGGCACCAUCUAUUGGGUGAAAAUGAUAGCAAAUGUUUCAUGAAUUGUCAUUUUGUCCAUCAGAAUAGCCUUCAAAAAGGUUAUCGAUACAGGUUUUGCCCAUUGAAUAUUGAAUUUGAUCAUUUUCUUGACAGCAUAGUGAUCCUCCAAGCUUGUGUCGAUUCAGCACCAAAAGAAGCUCAGAAUAAAUACAGAACUAACCAUCCUGUGCAAGCUAAAUUGAUAUAACAGGGUAACCCCUGGUCCGUAUAUAACCUCACUGUAAUGAGGAAAGUCAAACACGAUUUGUUAGUCAAAGUGGAAAGAAAUCAGACCUGUUUCACUCUGUUACCAGUUAAAAGUUUAAAGUGUUACUAUGACAGUGCUUUCUGCUUGUGGACAAAUGUUACAGCCACUAUAAAGGGGAAAUAUUAACCAAACCUUGUCUUGUAUGUUGUAAGCAGGUUCUGGCAUAGCCAAAGUUCAUGACUGAAGUGAACAAUUGUCCCUAUAUCGGCGAAGAUACGGCAUGAAGCUGAUGCCAAUACUCAUAAAAAAAUCUGACAACACAAGCAGUUGAUCCUGGGAUUAUGGCACUAUUUGUGUGUGUAUUUUUCAUGUGAUGCAGAUGCCGAUUGCCAAGUGGUUUAAAUUUACAAACGUCUCAAAAUGGAGUGUUUUUUUGGGGGAGGGGGGUUUCUCUUGAAGCUGUGCUGCUUUGUAAGGCUUUUCUAGUUGGUGUGGAGACAAGAAGAGCCUUGAAUGGACACGGUGUCGACUAAGUACCUUCAUUGUUCCCAGCUGUAGACAUUAUUCUUAACUUUCCUCCUCAACCACAAACAGCUGGACCUGCACAGGAAUCUUAUUUGUCAAAAUAGAUACCUUUGCUACACUGACAUGAGUGAAUGGCUGUUUUUCCCCCCCAACUGUUGCUAAUUUGGACUUGUGAUUCCAUAAAUAAACAAAUCUAUUUUCAAGGAACUGGUGUUUAGGGAUGUGUAAAAGCAGGAGGGGGGUGAUUCAUCAGCCACUCAAACAAUAGACAUCCAUUAGGGUUUAUCCAAGGUAGCACAAGGCACACAAUUGGGGUACGUCCUGGACAGGAUUCCAGCCCUUAUGGGGCACAUACUGUACUACAGACUGCAGGAGGAAACCUGCGAGACACGGGAAGAAGGUGCAAAUUCCACACAUACAGAGCAGGAAUGAGAUGUGAAGCCCCCCAGCAUUGGAGAUGUAAGGUAACCACGCUACCCGUCAAGCCACCAUGCUGCCUGCAACACUGGUCACUCACUAUUUACUUUAAAUGCCCAUUAAUUCUUUUCACUAAGACUUUGCCCUCUGCUGGCUAUUAGAAAAGGGCAGUCCUCCUUUCCCGGGAAAACCUUUUCAGAGAACUCUACUUUGGUGAGGACCCAUGCAAAGCAAGCUGUGGUGGCACAGUGUGCAGGAAGGUCACAGCUUACCUUUCACACCUCCAGAAAAUGUGCCAGCGUGCAAACUGGCAUGUGACACUAUGGCAGGGCCGUGCAGCUCAGGGCUGAUGGGCUGCAGCAGGUGGAAAUCGUAAAUACUGCUGGGCAGCCUGCCAGGCCCUAGAGGGACCGGGCCGCUCCAGCGCUCGCGUUGCCCAGUUUCCAAAUGGAUGCAGAGCCUGACUGGCUUGGGGGGGGGGCUGCUAAACUGCCUCAGUUACUACUAGUGCCCAACCUGGACAUUUAUUUAGAUUGAGUCACAUGUUUGGGACGGGGGGGGGUUAAUGGGACUCACCGUAUGAGUCUUAGGCAGCCUAAUAAAAUGAUGUUUAAAUGAUCUUCAUGUUGGUGUAAAACACCUGCACGAGCUAUUUGCACACACACACACACACACACACACACACACGCACACACGCACACGCACACACACACCACACAUUACAUUUUGAAGCAACAAGUAGGAAGAGACAAUGAACUAAGAAGAAACAAUUAAGAAGAAAUGAAGACGGGCUGAAAAUGGGCUGUUAUGAGUGAGAACAUCCGGAGGAUCCUGUUUCAUCCACUGCAGGUGCCCUCCAGUGGCAGCGCCUGCCUUAGGGCACCGUUGCCCAAACAGCCUUUCAAAAUCAUGACGCAUGUUCUGUGUCUAGAACCAGAACGACGUGUUUUGUCCGGACUGCAGGGAUUCGAGGGCAUGGACUAUCCACUUUCAGCCGUGGGAGAACCGCAGCACCGAUGCUCUCUGGCUUCAGGUCAUGGUGGCUCCAGUUCCGGCAUGUUGCGCAUUGCUGCUGAUUCCCACGUAAUCAAGUGAGAGAACUUCCUCACCUGCAUUAAGUGGGGGCGGGGGCGGGGGGAGGAGUUUUGCUUUGUCUUCAAACAGAAGGAAAACUGUAUGACCUGCAAAAAUUGUGCAGAUGUAGGGGCUUGCUGUAGAGAAAUUCCAGUUCAACCCCAUAGCUUUCAUAGAGAAGCACCAUGACAACCUGUCUCACAUUUUGCACUGGGGGGUUGGUUGGGCGGGGACUGUUUACAUAACAGUUUAUACGUCAGCUGAUAUGCAAUAUACUAUAAAAUAUGUAUGUGGUGCAAUUUAUUGGGUCAUUCAAAAAGUUUAGACAAAUAUAAAUGCAGAUAAAAAUAUGGCGUGUAUGUAAAGAUUAUUGUUUACAGCCUAAAUUGACAAAGCUGCUUAAAAAACUUUGUAAGUCACUUAUUUCGGUCAAGUUGUAUGGAAAAAAAACCAAUAAUCUUCCCAUAGCAAGGAUUGAACUCAAGUGCUGCAACAAAUCAUGGGUAAUACACUGUAAAACUAGUGUCAGUGCAGUGGCACUACGUAGCUGUAGCUGCAGCUCCACGCACUGCGAGCUUAACGACAGAUCCCCUACAGGAAGAGCAGGCUGCGUAUCACAUUUACAGCAAACCGUCUGCCAUACGGGGGGACAUGAUCCAGGUAUAUAAGAUUCUAACAGGUCUGGAUGCUGUUCAGCCAAAUGGCUACUUUAAAAUAUUAGUUUAAAUUAGGGCUGUCAAAAUU